CUGGCCUACGGGGCGCAGCAGUGGGGAAUAUUGGGCAAUGGGCGCAAGCCUGACCCAGCAACGCCGCGUGAAGGAAGAAGGCUUUCGGGUUGUAAACUUCUUUUCUCAGGGACGAAGGAAGUGACGGUACCUGAGGAAUAAGCCACGGCUAACUACGUGCCAGCGGCCGCGGUAAUACGUAGGUGGCAAGCGUUAUCCGGAUUUAUUGGGUGUAAAGGGCGUGUAGGCGGGAGCGCAAGUCAGAUGUGGAAACUCAGGG
This 259-nucleotide ribosomal RNA is filed under the name uncultured bacterium. RNAcentral's name for it is "partial 16S ribosomal RNA". It matches the Rfam family "Bacterial small subunit ribosomal RNA", at positions 334 to 607 of the family's 1533-position model. The record is from RNAcentral.